GAUGAACGCUGGCGGCGUGCCUAAUACAUGCAAGUCGAGCGAACGGACGAGAAGCUUGCUUCUCUGAUGUUAGCGGCGGACGGGUGAGUAACACGUGGAUAACCUACCUAUAAGACUGGGAUAACUUCGGGAAACCGUAGCUAAUACCGGAUAAUAUUUUGAGCCGCAUGGUUCAAAAGUGAAAGACGGUCUUGCUGUCACUUAUAGAUGGAUCCGCGCUGCAUUAGCUAGUUGGUAAGGUAACGGCUUACCAAGGCAACGAUGCAUAGCCGACCUGAGAGGGUGAUCGGCCACACUGGAACUGAGACACGGUCCAGACUCCUACGGGAGGCAGCAGUAGGGAAUCUUCCGCAAUGGUCGAAAGCCUGACGGAGCAACGCCGCGUGAGUGAUGAAGGUCUUCGGAUCGUAAAACUCUGUUAUUAGGGAAGAACAUAUGUGUAAGUAACUGUGCACAUCUUGACGGUACCUAAUCAGAAAGCCCCGGCUAACUACGUG
This 497-nucleotide ribosomal RNA is filed under the name uncultured bacterium. RNAcentral's name for it is "partial 16S ribosomal RNA". It matches the Rfam family "Bacterial small subunit ribosomal RNA", at positions 28 to 507 of the family's 1533-position model. The record is from RNAcentral.